Onychostoma macrolepis is the source of this 136-nucleotide small nuclear RNA. RefSeq annotates it as U11 spliceosomal RNA. The record is from RefSeq and is a predicted model, not a curated record. The transcript has a single exon. Lineage: Eukaryota; Metazoa; Chordata; Actinopteri; Cypriniformes; Cyprinidae.
AAAAAGGGCAUCUGCUAUGACUGGCAUAGCUGUGGAUGAGAUUUUCUGAUACAGUUACGGAAUCGCUAUCAAGAGAUUUCGGAUGUGCAAUUUUUAAAACCCGAGGCUGCCAAUGAUCAUUAUUCUUGGUGCCUCA